CGUAGGGUGCAAGCGCUGUCCGGAUUUACUGGGCGUAAAGAGCGCGUAGGCGGCUCGUUAAGUGAGAAGUGAAAGCUGUGGGCUCAACCCACAAACCGCUUUUCAUACUGGCGAGCUGGAGUGAUGCAGAGGUGGAUAGAAUUCCCGGUGUAGCGGUGAAAUGCGUUGAUAUCGGGAGGAAUACCCAUGGCGAAGGCAGUCCACUGGGCAUCAACUGACGCUGAGGCGCGAAAGCGUGGGUAGCAAACAGGAUUAGAUACCCUGGUAGUCCACGCCCUAAACGAUGGAUGCUAGGCGUAGGAGGUAUCGACCCCUCCUGUGCCGCAGCUAACGCACUAAGCAUCCCGCCUGGGGACUACGGCCGCAAGGUUG
Molecule: ribosomal RNA, 372 nt
Filed under: uncultured organism
Description: bacterial SSU rRNA
Rfam family: Bacterial small subunit ribosomal RNA
Source: RNAcentral